UACGUAUGGAGCAAGCGUUAUCCGGAUUUACUGGGUGUAAAGGGAGUGUAGGUGGCCAGGCAAGUCAGAAGUGAAAGCCCGGGGCUCAACCCCGGGACUGCUUUUGAAACUGCAGGGCUAGAGUGCAGGAGGGGCAAGUGGAAUUCCUAGUGUAGCGGUGAAAUGCGUAGAUAUUAGGAGGAAUACCAGUGGCGAAGGCGGCUUGCUGGACUGUAACUGACACUGAGGCUCGAAAGCGUGGGGAGCAAACAGG
This 253-nucleotide ribosomal RNA is filed under the name [Lactobacillus] rogosae. Its description in RNAcentral is "Lactobacillus rogosae partial 16S ribosomal RNA". It matches the Rfam family "Bacterial small subunit ribosomal RNA", at positions 524 to 776 of the family's 1533-position model. Lineage: Bacteria; Bacillati; Bacillota; Clostridia; Lachnospirales; Lachnospiraceae. The record is from RNAcentral.